RNAcentral lists this non-coding RNA (1108 nucleotides) under Pan troglodytes (chimpanzee). The record is from RNAcentral. Lineage: Eukaryota; Metazoa; Chordata; Mammalia; Primates; Hominidae.
AACACAAAAUGGCGACACGUGGUUAGCAUUCGUCGCCAACGAGAAAUUGGGGUCGGCCCGAAAGCUCUAGAAUGCACCCCCCUUCUUCCCCGGGGCCUUCCACCUCCGCGAGUUUUAUGACUUAAAAAACCCCACAGGCUGGUCUGAAGGUCGGAGGCCUAAUUUUAACGCGUUUUCCUCCCUUUAAUUUGAAACGCGAACGCGAAUGGCUGUAAAAUGUGGGCACAAUAUUUAAUUUCUCGCCUUUUUAAAGCUUAAUAGUGGAUAAUAGGGGGCAGUAUCAAGGGAUAAUUUGGGUCCCCACAGUACCAAAGCAUUUAGAAACCUCUGUUUAAUUUAAGGAAUGAGAUAAAUUACUGCUUUUCUAGACUUCCUAGCAUGGGCUGUUGUGCUGGAGAGAACGAGAGCUACGAAGAGACUACAAUGCCUCUGACUUUUUCAUAGGACAGUUGGCCGAGGAAGACAAACAUAAAGAUGAAGUGCUUAAUUCAAGGUCACACAAUGUCGGGGAUGGACCUCCAGAUUUCCUUACUGGUGAGACGUGGUCUUGUAACACAGUGGUUAAGAAUGUGACUUUGGAGCCAGCCUGCUAGGGGCUGAAUUCUGACUCAGCCAUUUACUAACUGUGUGACCUUAGGCUGGAGUGCAAUGGCAUGAUCUCGGCUCACCACAAUCUCUGCUUCCUGGGUUCAAGCGAUUCUCCUGCCUCAGCCUCCCAAGUACCUGGGACUACAGGCACUCGCCACCAUGCCCGGCUGAUAUUUGUAUUUUUAAUAGAGAUGGUUUCCCUAUUUGGCCAGGCUGGUCUCGAACUCCUGACCUUGUGAUCUGCCCACCUCAGCCUCGAAAAGUGCUGGGAUUACAGGCGUGAGCCACUGCGCCCAGCCUUGUAUUUUUUUCAGUUUGGGUAGCUGUCCCUAAUUCAUUUGUUAAAGGAGAAGCAAGAGCAAGAACCUUUAAUCUGUUCUCCUCUUCCCUAAUUUGAAAGUAGCUUGUUAUUUUGAAUAUCACUUUCUCUGAAAUAGCACAUCUCCAUCUCAGAGAAUGGAUUUAAUGUUUGGAUACAGCCAAAAGUCGUUUCAUUACCAAACGAUGGGGUGAAUAUACC